GAUGAACGCUGGCGGCGUGCUUAACACAUGCAAGUCGAACGAGAAAUGGAGACUCCAACCUUCGAGCGGAAGGCUUCAUUUCGAGUGGCGCACGUGUGAGUAACACGUGGGUAACCUGCCUCAUACAGUGGGCUAUCAGCUGGAAACGACUGUUAAUACCGCAUACGACCACAGCCCCGCAUGUUGCGGGCGUAAAAACUACGGUGGUAUGGGCUGGACCCGCGUUCGAUUAGCCAGUUGGCGGGGUAACGGCCCACAAAAGCGACGAUCGAUAGCCGAUCUGAGAGGAUGACCGGCCACAGUGGGACGGAGACACGGCCAAAACUCCUACGGGAGGAAGCAGUGGGGAAUAUUGCACAAUGGGGAAAACCCUGAGGCAGAGACGCCGGGGGAGUGAAGAAGUAAUGCGGUAUGUAAAGCUCUAUCAGCAGGGAAGAAAAUGACGGUACCUGAGUAAGAAGCCCCGGCUAACUACGUG
RNAcentral lists this ribosomal RNA (478 nucleotides) under uncultured bacterium. RNAcentral describes it as "partial 16S ribosomal RNA". It matches the Rfam family "Bacterial small subunit ribosomal RNA", at positions 28 to 507 of the family's 1533-position model. The record is from RNAcentral.